This 468-nucleotide ribosomal RNA is filed under the name uncultured bacterium. RNAcentral's name for it is "partial 16S ribosomal RNA". It matches the Rfam family "Bacterial small subunit ribosomal RNA", at positions 28 to 507 of the family's 1533-position model. The record is from RNAcentral.
GACGAACGCUGGCGGCGUGCUUAACACAUGCAAGUCGAACGGAAAGUCCCUGCUUUUGUUGGGUGCUCGAGUGGCGAACGGGUGAGUAACACGUGAGUAACCUGCCCUUGACUUUGGGAUAACUUCAGGAAACUGGGUCUAAUACCGGAUAGGAGCUCCUGCUGCAUGGUGGGGGUUGGAAAGUUUCGGCGGUUGGGGAUGGACUCGCGGCUUAUCAGCUUGUUGGUGGGGUAGUGGCUUACCAAGGCUUUGACGGGUAGCCGGCCUGAGAGGGUGACCGGCCAGAUUGGGACUGAGAUACGGCCCAGACUCCUACGGGAGGCAGCAGUGGGGAAUAUUGCACAAUGGGCGGAAGCCUGAUGCAGCAACGCCGCGUGCGGGAUGACGGCCUUCGGGUUGUAAACCGCUUUCGCCUGUGACGAAGCGUGAGUGACGGUAAUGGGUAAAGAAGCACCGGCUAACUACGUG